CGGGUAGUGGCGCAGCUUGGUAGCGCGCCUCGUUCGGGACGAGGAGGUCGUGGGUUCAAAUCCCGCCUACCCGACAA
RNAcentral lists this transfer RNA (77 nucleotides) under marine actinobacterium MedAcidi-G1. Its description in RNAcentral is "tRNA-Pro". It matches the Rfam family "tRNA". From Rfam's summary of the family: Transfer RNA (tRNA) molecules are approximately 80 nucleotides in length. Their secondary structure includes four short double-helical elements and three loops (D, anti-codon, and T loops). RNAcentral also lists the same sequence under 2 other names. Lineage: Bacteria; Bacillati; Actinomycetota; Actinomycetes. The record is from RNAcentral.